CAAGCUUCCAGAAUCGCUGCAAGUUCUGCCCCAUUACAUAGAAUUUUCUUUGAACCGCUACAUGACUCCGGCGAAGCCUUCUAAGACACAAGUGUCAAUAUCGUAUUCCCUGAAGUGAGUCGGAACUUCGCCGGUGGUGCAUCGUUACUUUUAAACCGAGGACUAUAUUUUCCAGUAGAAUUCUAUUAUUUGAAGAGGCGGCGAAAAUUAUGUAUUUCAACUACAAAAAGUUACGUCAUGAUCCUUUGUACAAGCACUUACCAACUGAUGAUGAUUGGGCUUUUGCAUCGGUGAUUUGUGAUAAGCUGAAGUUAUUCUACGAGAUCACCGAAGGUUUUUCAGGUACAAAAUAUACAAUAAAAAAAUCUUUAUUUUCCGAUUAUUUGUAGGAUUAGGGUGGCAUUGAAUGGGUGGAUUACACAUAGUAAUAUCAUUAUUUCGAGAAUAGAAAAGUAAAUGUUGGAGAAAUUUGAAAAAUAUUGGAAUGAUAUGAAUGGUAUCAUGGGUGUUGCCACAGUUUUAGACCCAAGGUACAAAACAACAUUGUUGGAGUAUUACUUUGAAAAUAUUUAUGGGGUUACUAUUGAACAUGAAGUUGAAAGAAUUGUGCAACUAUGUCGAGAUUUGGUCACAGAGUAUGAAGAAAGAAUGACCUCCUCAAAGAAUGAACCUCAACCCUUCAACGGUGCAUCUUUGGAUAGUGUUUCAGUUGAUUUGGAUA
Long non-coding RNA from Hibiscus syriacus, 721 nucleotides. RefSeq lists it as uncharacterized. Lineage: Eukaryota; Viridiplantae; Streptophyta; Magnoliopsida; Malvales; Malvaceae. The record is from RefSeq and is a predicted model, not a curated record. The transcript is spliced from 4 exons.